CUUUUCACUACUCAGUGCUGCUUCUGCAUUUAACAAAAUAGCUCCCAGCCGUGUUGCUGUCAGAUUUACACCAUCUGGCAACAUUAUGCGAUAGCAAUCGUCUCACUGCUGGGGCUGGCAGAGGAGAUCCGAGAGGAGCCUCUCCUGCACUGCUGAAGCAAAUGGUAGAUGGCAUUAAAGCCAUGUUUAAACUCCAGUUUUCUUCCUCAGGUACAUUCUCCCCACCCCAGCACUUCCCCACAGCUCCAGUGGCAGGACUAACGCCUGUUAACGACAGCAGGCUGUGUGCCCCCCACCCCUCCUCUUGCCCAGGAGCUGGCCUUGCUGCACCCAGCUGGGUGCCACUGGGGGAUGAGGGCACACCUGAAGGGAAAGGGAGGAGACUGAGACCCUCAGGAGCUUAUUAAAGAAGGUGACAUGCAGAGGGUAGUUGGCUCUGCCUUGGAGGGCAAAGUGGGCUGCUGGUGCUAUGCUGAAGAGCAAAGCAGGUGGGGGCUCCCCAGGCCCCAUCCCUGGUAUUGGAAACUUGACUGAAGACUACGUAUCAUGCACUGGAGAAGGAUAUUUGGUUGCAGUGUAUGGAGGCACUAGAGAAUUUCCUAAAGUGGAAAACAUGACCAGAGCUGCCUGGGCUGUGCGGGAUGCUGUGCCCAGGAGCUCCCAGGCGCUGCGGCUGUGCGACGUGACGGGUGCCGGAGCUUUGUGCACCAGGUUUCUACUCUCUCUGCUAAACCAGUGGGUAUUGUGAGGUUCUUCAGAAGCAGCUCAUAACAUAAACUGUGGAGCUGGAGCGUUACGUUCCCAUUUAUUGCGCAGCUGUCUAGUUCAGGCAAAGCCAAAUGUCCAUCCUAUUUAAUUAAAUG
This is a long non-coding RNA of Anser brachyrhynchus (Pink-footed goose), 863 nucleotides long. NCBI's taxonomy places the organism in Eukaryota, Metazoa, Chordata, Aves, Anseriformes, Anatidae. The record is from Ensembl.